UACGGAGGGGGCUAGCGUUGUUCGGAAUUACUGGGCGUAAAGCGCACGUAGGCGGCUUUGUAAGUUAGAGGUGAAGGCCCGGAGCUCAACUCCAGAACUGCCUUUAAGACUGCAUCGCUUGAACGUCGGAGAGGUAAGUGGAAUUCCGAGUGUAGAGGUGAAAUUCGUAGAUAUUCGGAAGAACACCAGUGGCGAAGGCGACUUACUGGACGACUGUUGACGCUGAGGUGCGAAAGCGUGGGGAGCAAACAGG
This 253-nucleotide ribosomal RNA is filed under the name uncultured bacterium. Its description in RNAcentral is "partial 16S ribosomal RNA". It matches the Rfam family "Bacterial small subunit ribosomal RNA", at positions 524 to 776 of the family's 1533-position model. The record is from RNAcentral.